GACGAACGCUGGCGGCGUGCUUAACACAUGCAAGUCGAACGGUGAACUCCGCUUGCGGGGGGAUCAGUGGCGAACGGGUGAGUAACACGUGGGCAACCUGCCCUCAGCUCUGGGAUAACUCCAAGAAAUUGGGGCUAAUACCGGAUAUGACCGCUGACCGCAUGGUCUGGGGGUGGAAAGAUUUAUCGGCUGGGGAUGGGCCCGCGGCCUAUCAACUUGUUGGUGGGGUAGUGGCCUACCAAGGCGACGACGGGUAGCCGGCCUGAGAGGGUGACCGGCCACACUGGGACUGAGACACGGCCCAGACUCCUACGGGAGGCAGCAGUGGGGAAUAUUGCGCAAUGGGCGAAAGCCUGACGCAGCGACGCCGCGUGGGGGAUGACGGCCUUCGGGUUGUAAACCUCUUUCGGCAGGGACGAAGCGAAAGUGACGGUACCUGCAGAAGAAGCACCGGCCAACUACGUG
RNAcentral lists this ribosomal RNA (465 nucleotides) under uncultured bacterium. RNAcentral describes it as "partial 16S ribosomal RNA". It matches the Rfam family "Bacterial small subunit ribosomal RNA", at positions 28 to 507 of the family's 1533-position model. The record is from RNAcentral.